CCUGAAACCGUGUACGUACAAGCAGUGGGAGCCCCACCACCAAAGCAUUCUCUGGUGUUGAAGGCCCUGCAAAGCAGCAUCGCGGUGGCGGAGCGUCGUUUGCGACGCCCAACACACAAAACAAGCGGUGAGUGCUUUGGGGUGGGGUGACUGCGUACCUUUUGUAUAAUGGGUCAGCGACUUAUAUUCUGUAGCAAGGUUAACCGUAUAGGGGAGCCGAAGGGAAACCGAGUCUUAACUGGGCGUUAAGUUGCAGGGUAUAGACCCGAAACCCGGUGAUCUAGCCAUGGGCAGGUUGAAGGUUGGGUAACACUAACUGGAGGACCGAACCGACUAAUGUUGAAAAAUUAGCGGAUGACUUGUGGCUGGGGGUGAAAGGCCAAUCAAACCGGGAGAUAGCUGGUUCUCCCCGAAAGCUAUUUAGGUAGCGCCUCGUGAACUCAUCUUCGGGGGUAGAGCACUGUUUCGGCUAGGGGGUCAUCCCGACUUACCAACCCGAUGCAAACUGCGAAUACCGAAGAAUGUUAUCACGGGAGACACACGGCGGGUGCUAACGUCCGUCGUGAAGAGGGAAACAACCCAGACCGCCAGCUAAGGUCCCAAAGUCACAGUUAAGUGGGAAACGAUGUGGGAAGGCUCAGACAGCCAGGAUGUUGGCUUAGAAGCAGCCAUCAUUUAAAGAAAGCGUAAUAGCUCACUGGUCGAGUCGGCCUGCGCGGAAGAUGUAACGGGGCUAAACUGUGCACCGAAGCUGCGGCAGCGACGCUUAUGCGUUGUUGGGUAGGGGAGCGUUCUGUAAGCCUGCGAAGGUGUCCUGUGAGGGAUGCUGGAGGUAUCAGAAGUGCGAAUGCUGACAUAAGUAACGAUAA
This 869-nucleotide ribosomal RNA is filed under the name Salmonella enterica subsp. enterica serovar Kentucky. RNAcentral describes it as "partial 23S ribosomal RNA". It matches the Rfam family "Bacterial large subunit ribosomal RNA", at positions 549 to 1315 of the family's 2925-position model. The record is from RNAcentral. Lineage: Bacteria; Pseudomonadati; Pseudomonadota; Gammaproteobacteria; Enterobacterales; Enterobacteriaceae.